GACAGAGGUGCCGAGCGUUAGGCGGAAUCACUGGGCUUAAAGCGUGCGUAGGCGGACUGAUAAGUACCUUGUGAAAUCCCACGGCUUAACCGUGGAACUGCUUGGUAUACUGUCGGUCUUGAGCCAGCUAGAGGUUACCGGAACAAAUGGUGGAGCGGUGAAAUGCGUAGAGAUGCGGCGGAACACCGAUGGCGAAGGCAGCCCCCUGGGCUGAGAUUGACGCUCAGGCACGAAAGCGUGGGGAGCAAACAGG
RNAcentral lists this ribosomal RNA (253 nucleotides) under uncultured bacterium. RNAcentral describes it as "partial 16S ribosomal RNA". It matches the Rfam family "Bacterial small subunit ribosomal RNA", at positions 524 to 776 of the family's 1533-position model. The record is from RNAcentral.